Molecule: long non-coding RNA, 1044 nt
Organism: Marmota monax (woodchuck)
Lineage: Eukaryota; Metazoa; Chordata; Mammalia; Rodentia; Sciuridae
Exons: 2
Source: RefSeq, a predicted model, not a curated record
CAGGCAAAUCUAAAAUACCGAGAGCGCCGAGCUACUGACAUUGCUAAAGAUGAUCAUGAAGACAUUUAUCCAGCCUCUCCUGCUUUCCCUUCGCCCAGCCCUUCGGAAGCUUAUGUCAAGUGUGACAGGCUAGGUGAUGAAUGGGUAGAAAGUUGACAAGUGGCGACAGGCGGCUGAGAUCAAAAUAUGCAGAAGAAGGAAGUGCUGCAGGAGAGGGAGUAAUUCAGCACCAUGAUCACCACGGGGGAUGGGAAACUAAGGGAGUGUCUUGACCAAGUUUGAGAAGAAUGAAUACAUGUGUAGCAGAAAUCAAGGACUGCAGAGGGAUGAAUAUUCCAAGUUAAUCAGCACCACAUUUCAAGUAUACGUAUAAAGUCAUGUAAUAUAGAAAUUUUACAUGUCAUAUGAAACAUUAUAAUCUAAAUUUUAGCAGGACAUGUAGAAAAUAUAUGCAGCUAUAUAAUUACUGGCGUAAGUGUGUCUUGAGGUAAAUAUUCUCUAUUUUAAAAGUAUAUGCUGUAUUUUAGAUACUAGGAAAGAAACUUUAUUAGUUUAUGAUUUUAUUUGUACUAGUCUCUUUAGAAAAAGACAAUAUAUGCUCAUGAUAAAAAAAGUCUACUUUUGCACAGAAAAGUAUAAAGUAUAAAUUGCAGUUAACUUUGGCCAUCUUACCUUCACUUUGAAGUAUUUGUCUCUCUUAAACAUUUUUCAUUUGACUUGUAGCAAUUCUAACUGAAUAUGAAAAUCUGUACCAGGAUUCCCCUACUAGGCAAAUCACUGUGGAAUUUAGGCAACAUGAUAUUUUAAACUUUUGAAAAUUGAAUUUGAAUGCAUUUAGGUAUGAAAUCCAUUCCACAAUUCACAGCUACCACUUUAAUUUAGCUUCCAUAAACAUAGAUAGCACUUGCUUGGUUUUUGAAGGGUAACAGUUGAAUUUUGACUCCCGGAAUACACUCCAAGAUUAGCCUGUGUAUGUGUGUGUGUGUGUGUGUGCAUGUGUGUAUGCACAAAUAUGUAUUUCUCAUAAAAAUCAUGUUACACUUA